Molecule: ribosomal RNA, 424 nt
Filed under: uncultured Coprococcus sp.
Lineage: Bacteria; Bacillati; Bacillota; Clostridia; Lachnospirales; Lachnospiraceae
Description: bacterial SSU rRNA
Rfam family: Bacterial small subunit ribosomal RNA
Source: RNAcentral
CCUACGGGAGGCAGCAGUGGGGAAUAUUGCACAAUGGGGGAAACCCUGAUGCAGCGACGCCGCGUGAGCGAAGAAGUAUUUCGGUAUGUAAAGCUCUAUCAGCAGGGAAGAAAAAAAUGACGGUACCUGACUAAGAAGCCCCGGCUAACUACGUGCCAGCAGCCGCGGUAAUACGUAGGGGGCAAGCGUUAUCCGGAUUUACUGGGUGUAAAGGGAGCGCAGGCGGUGCGGCAAGUCUGAUGUGAAAGCCCGGGGCUCAACCCCGGGACUGCAUUGGAAACUGUCGUACUUGAGUAUCGGAGAGGUAAGUGGAAUUCCUAGUGUAGCGGUGAAAUGCGUAGAUAUUAGGAGGAACACCAGUGGCGAAGGCGGCUUACUGGACGAUAACUGACGCUGAGGCUCGAAAGCGUGGGGAGCAAACAGG